Molecule: ribosomal RNA, 467 nt
Filed under: uncultured Terribacillus sp.
Lineage: Bacteria; Bacillati; Bacillota; Bacilli; Caryophanales; Bacillaceae
Description: bacterial SSU rRNA
Rfam family: Bacterial small subunit ribosomal RNA
Source: RNAcentral
CCUACGGGGGGCUGCAGUAGGGAAUCUUCCGCAAUGGACGAAAGUCUGACGGAGCAACGCCGCGUGAGCGAUGAAGGCCUUCGGGUCGUAAAGCUCUGUUGUUAGGGAAGAACAAGUACGAGAGUAACUGCUCGUACCUUGACGGUACCUAACCAGAAAGCCCCGGCUAACUACGUGCCAGCAGCCGCGGUAAUACGUAGGGGGCAAGCGUUGUCCGGAAUUAUUGGGCGUAAAGGGCUCGUAGGCGGUUUCUUAAGUCUGAUGUGAAAGCCCACAGCUCAACUGUGGAGGGUCAUUGGAAACUGGGGAACUUGAGUGCAGAAGAGGAGAGUGGAAUUCCACGUGUAGCGGUGAAAUGCGUAGAUAUGUGGAGGAACACCAGUGGCGAAGGCGACUCUCUGGUCUGUAACUGACGCUGAGGAGCGAAAGCGUGGGGAGCAAACAGGAUUAGAUACCCCGGUAGUCUC